GUUGAAGAAGCAGCCAGCCUCAGUAACUAGUGAUUUUAUUCAAUCACCAGUAAUCCCAAAUGUAGAAGAUGAAACUUGUUUCAUUCAGCAACAGCUAAGAAACCAGAAACUUAAACCCAAAAGUCGCAGAUUUACGUUAAAAGAGAAAUUAUUGUCUCUAACACUUUUUAAGGCCAGUGCGAAAGCAUACCGCUUAUUAUCCAAGAUUUUUUGUUUGCCGUCACCUGGGACAUUAAUUAAUUUAUUAAAUAAAAUUCCACUCCGCCCUGGCUUGAAUAAACGCCUAAUGGACAGUUUCAAGCAGUCAGUGGCAAAAUUAAAAGAAAACGAUGAACAAGAUGAAGGUGUCAUUGAUGGCGCAAGUGUUCAGUUUUAAAGUGGGAUCCUUGAUGAAACGCAUUUCACAAUGGGGUCUUCAGUGUGACAACAGCUUACCUGCUGAAGCAGUGUAAACUGCAGAUUUCAUCUUGUUUAUGGAUAUGUUAUUUGACAGCCUCAAUGGUAAUGCAAAACAAGCGCCAGUAAGUAAACCAUUUAAAGGAGGGGUUUCGACUGAUUCUGGACAUAAAAAGUGGUGGGAAGAAUCUGUGAAAGUAAUUAAAUCAAUGCGUUUUUGGAAUAGUAAAAAGGGCAUAUAUGUAAAAGUCCCAUCGACCAAAAAUUUAGUUAAAACAAUUGAAGGUUUCUUGUAUUUACGAACAAGAUUGUUGACGCGAGUAAAGUACUUUUUGCCAGGUGCUUUGAAUCAAGAACACAGAUUUGUGAUCUUGAAAUGUUAUAUUAUGUUGAUAUAGUUCAAAAGAAAAAUAUAUUUGUAAUCAAAGUAUCGACGCGGCGGCACUGGAUCGAGCGUCUGAAACAUCAUUCCGCCCGUUGAUAAUAAGACAAAUUUGAUAUUAUCGUUAUCUCUUUUUUAUUAUCAACUUUUAUACAAUUUAUAUCACAAUAAAUUAGACUGUAUUGAUUUAAUAUAUAGUUCUGUUUUAUACUGAUUCUAGCCGUACAAACAUCUCAGUUUGCUUUUCAGUUUCGGCUAUGUCUAAUUUAUUCAACAAAAUUGCACAUUUAUAUGAUAUUAAUUUAGAUUCUAG
This is a long non-coding RNA of Zophobas morio, 1091 nucleotides long. RefSeq lists it as uncharacterized. Lineage: Eukaryota; Metazoa; Arthropoda; Insecta; Coleoptera; Tenebrionidae. The transcript has 3 exons. The record is from RefSeq and is a predicted model, not a curated record.